This 361-nucleotide ribosomal RNA is filed under the name Streptomyces sp. 120-1.2-LH-C15(h)-03. RNAcentral's name for it is "bacterial SSU rRNA". It matches the Rfam family "Bacterial small subunit ribosomal RNA", at positions 63 to 428 of the family's 1533-position model. The record is from RNAcentral. Lineage: Bacteria; Bacillati; Actinomycetota; Actinomycetes; Kitasatosporales; Streptomycetaceae.
CGAACGAUGAAGCCCUUCGGGGUGGAUUAGUGGCGAACGGGUGAGUAACACGUGGGCAAUCUGCCCUUCACUCUGGGACAAGCCCUGGAAACGGGGUCUAAUACCGGAUAACACUCCUGCCUGCAUGGGCGGGGGUUAAAAGCUCCGGCGGUGAAGGAUGAGCCCGCGGCCUAUCAGCUUGUUGGUGGGGUAAUGGCCCACCAAGGCGACGACGGGUAGCCGGCCUGAGAGGGCGACCGGCCACACUGGGACUGAGACACGGCCCAGACUCCUACGGGAGGCAGCAGUGGGGAAUAUUGCACAAUGGGCGAAAGCCUGAUGCAGCGACGCCGCGUGAGGGAUGACGGCCUUCGGGUUGUAA